This 668-nucleotide ribosomal RNA is filed under the name uncultured bacterium. Its description in RNAcentral is "bacterial SSU rRNA". It matches the Rfam family "Bacterial small subunit ribosomal RNA", at positions 58 to 761 of the family's 1533-position model. The record is from RNAcentral.
CAAGUCGAGCGAGCGAGGAAGUUUUCGGAGGAAUUGCUGAGCGGCGGACGGGUGAGUAACGCGUGGGUACCUGCCUCAUACAGGGGGAUAACAGUUAGAAAUGACUGCUAAUACCGCAUAAGAUCGCAUGGUAAAAACUCCGGUGGUAUGAGAUGGACCCGCGUCUGAUUAGCUAGUUGGUGGGGUAACGGCUCACCAAGGCGACGAUCAGUAGCCGACCUGAGAGGGUGAUCGGCCACAUUGGGACUGAGACACGGCCCAAACUCCUACGGGAGGCAGCAGUGGGGAAUAUUGCACAAUGGGGGAAACCCUGAUGCAGCAACGCCGCGUGAGGAAGAAGUAUUUCGGUAUGUAAACUCUAUCAGCAGGGAAGAAAAUGACGGUACCUGACUAAGAAGCCCCGGCUAACUACGUGCCAGCAGCCGCGGUAAUACGUAGGGGGCAAGCGUUAUCCGGAUUUACUGGGUGUAAAGGGAGCGUAGACGGCGCUGCAAGUCUGAAGUGAAAGCCCGGGGCUCAACCCGGGACUGCUUUGGAAACUGUAAUGCUAGAGUGCUGGAGAGGUAAGUGGAAUUCCUAGUGUAGCGGUGAAAUGCGUAGAUAUUAGGAGGAACACCAGUGGCGAAGGCGGCUUACUGGACAGUAACUGACGUUGAGGCUCGAAAGCG